CGAGCAGUAGCUCAGUGGUUGAGUUCCAGCUUCGUAUGCGGGAAGAUCCGCGUUCGAUUCCCGGCUGCUUAC
This 72-nucleotide transfer RNA is filed under the name Toxocara canis (dog roundworm). It matches the Rfam family "tRNA". From Rfam's summary of the family: Transfer RNA (tRNA) molecules are approximately 80 nucleotides in length. Their secondary structure includes four short double-helical elements and three loops (D, anti-codon, and T loops). Lineage: Eukaryota; Metazoa; Nematoda; Chromadorea; Rhabditida; Toxocaridae. The record is from Rfam by way of RNAcentral.